This 322-nucleotide ribosomal RNA is filed under the name Calliptamus barbarus. RNAcentral describes it as "partial 16S ribosomal RNA". It matches the Rfam family "Bacterial large subunit ribosomal RNA", at positions 1993 to 2527 of the family's 2925-position model. Lineage: Eukaryota; Metazoa; Arthropoda; Insecta; Orthoptera; Acrididae. The record is from RNAcentral.
UGAAUGGCUUGACGAGAAAUCAACUGUCUCUUAAUAAUUUUUAAAAUUUAACUUUUGAGUCAAAAGGCUUAAAUUUUUCUUUAGGACGAGAAGACCCUAUAGAGCUUAACAUUUUAUUUUUAUAUAGUUUUUAGUUGAUCUUUCUAUAUUUAAUGAUAAUGUUUUGUUGGGGUGACAUGAAGAAUAAUUAAACUCUUCAUUAUAAAAUCAUUGAUUUAUGUUUAUCAUGAUCCAUAAUUUAUGAUCAUAAGAUUAAGUUACCUUAGGGAUAACAGCGUAAUUGUUUUCGAGAGCUCAUAUCGACAAAGUAGAUUGCGACCUC